Dicentrarchus labrax (European seabass) is the source of this 597-nucleotide long non-coding RNA. RefSeq lists it as uncharacterized. The transcript has 2 exons. Lineage: Eukaryota; Metazoa; Chordata; Actinopteri; Moronidae. The record is from RefSeq and is a predicted model, not a curated record.
AGAAUCCCCUCUGCAGCCAUCUUCUCUGCUGCUAGCUAGCCAGCCAGCUGGGGCACUGUUUCCAGUCCUCCACAGAGGAGACUCCUAUCCCACCACGCCCUGCGAGAAACUUCUUCUUCGUGGCAUCGUUUCGCGACGCUACAUGACUCUCCGUUCCAGGACCAGCUUAUUCCCCUCAGCUGUUACCUUGAUGAACUCUACACCUCGGUGAUAGCUGCCACCCCUGAAUGCCCUCUGACCCCCUACACACCUUCCUCCAGCGGCUGAACUUUUACAAUACAACGGUCUCUCCCUCGCCGUUCACUUAACAAUUAUACUAGGUCUGUCUCUACACUUACCCAUACAUAUUUAUACUACUGUCUACGCAGUAUGUAUCUGAUCCAUAGUGUAUACACUGUAUUUAUAUCAAGCUCCCAGCUGUUUAUUCUGCAUAUGUCACACUGCCAUUACUAGUACUUAUACCUUCACUGUGUAUCUUUUUGUUUAUGCUGUAUAUGUUACAUCUACCCCUUACUGUUUAUCUACACAUUCGUACAUACUUUGCAACUGUAUUUGAUUGUCUAUGUGCAAUGACAAUAAAGUUGGAUUUAAAACAUG